This 443-nucleotide ribosomal RNA is filed under the name uncultured bacterium. Its description in RNAcentral is "partial 16S ribosomal RNA". It matches the Rfam family "Bacterial small subunit ribosomal RNA", at positions 338 to 795 of the family's 1533-position model. The record is from RNAcentral.
CCUACGGGUGGCAGCAGUGGGGAAUAUUGGGCAAUGGGCGCAAGCCUGACCCAGCAACGCCGCGUGAAGGAAGAAGGCUUUCGGGUUGUACACUUCUUUUCUCAGGGACGAAGCCAGUGACGGUACCUGAGGAAUAAGCCACGGCUAACUACGUGCCAGCAGCCGCGGUAAUACGUAGGUGGCAAGCGUUAUCCGGAUUUACUGGGUGUAAAGGGCGUGUAGGCGGGACUGCAAGUCAGAUGUGAAAACCACGGGCUUAACCUGUAGCCUGCAUUUGAAAUUGUAGUUCUUGAGUACUGGAGAGGCAGACGGAAUGCCUAGUGUAGCGGUGAAAUGCGUAGAUAUAAGGAGGAACACCAGUGGCGAAGGCGGUCUGCUGGACAGCAACUGACGCUGAGGCGCGAAAGCGUGGGGAGCAAACAGGAUUAGAUACCCCUGUAGUC